Long non-coding RNA from Homo sapiens (human), 2057 nucleotides. RefSeq annotates it as paraneoplastic antigen Ma6E-like. The transcript is spliced from 6 exons. Lineage: Eukaryota; Metazoa; Chordata; Mammalia; Primates; Hominidae. The record is from RefSeq and is a predicted model, not a curated record.
AUGUGGGACUUCAACUCAGCUUCUCCGUUGAGUCGGCUGUCUCCGGGACGCAGGCCCCGCGUGGUGGGGGAAGCGAAAGGGGCAGUGUGGGGAAGUGGCCAAGGGGUCGGGUCCGGGGUGGUCUGCAGAGAGGCAGGCGGCGGUGCCCAGCCGGGAACCACGCGCUCACCCGCGGAGUCGGACGGGCCCGGCGGGGGUGGGCGAGACACUGGGAACAGCGGCCAGCUCCAGAGGGGCGAGGCGGGGCGCGCGGGGAGGGAGGGGGGCGCGGCGAACGCGCGCGUGCGCGUCGCCGCUGCCGGCGCCCAAGCCGACCCCAGGGCCGACCCCCGCAAGGAGCUGAAGGAGGUGGGAGCCCCAGUCGCCGCGGGCGUCGGCGCCGUCAAAGAAGAUGGCCACGGAGAUAGCAGCGUGGUCAGAGUGGUGGGAGCUGGUCAUCGGCGAGAGCUGCUCCAUGUCUGGCUGCUGAGUGCUAGAGCCUGUGGCCCACUGGCUUGCCUCACUAUGGUUGGUGGUGGCGGUGACAGAGACUGCAGCACGACCAGAGUGGCUUUUCUGGCUUUGCCCACCCAGCUGCUCCAUGCCAGGAGGAGGAGGAGACACCUAGAGCCUGCGACACCACGACUUGCCUCACUGCGGCCCCCGCAUCACCCAACCAACCAGCAGAGAUCCUCAUUCCCAUGAAACAGAUAAAGAAACUGAGGCCCAGGGAGGCUAAGUCCUGCCAGGAUCAUUCACCUUCCAAGGUAAGGAGCCAUUUCCAGACCUGGGUUUGUGCAGCUCCAAGCUCCCCCGUCUUUCUACAAUGCUAGAUUUAGACUAUAGCAAUCUAGCAAGUGUGGCCACACAAUGGUCAAGUUGGAUUUAGAUGAUGUUCUCUAUAAAUCCAUUCUCCUCUCCCGUGUAAGCAAGGCAAAGUACUCUAGGCCAUGGGGAGUCCCUGAAGACUCGAUGAACUGCAGUGGCCACGUCAGGAGGUUGCAGGUUGACCAGAACUCACCGACACAGCAGGAGAGCAGCUUGGAACCUGCAACUCAGCCAAGACCCAGUGCCUUGGAUUGAGGGAGAAAACAUGCAGCCAUUCCUCUCUCUCUCUGUUGGCUAGAGGGGAUUCUGGCUUUUCCUGCCAGAGCCACCCCUUUCCCUCCUCCUAAAGUUGAUGGUGGUUCUUUAAGGAAAGGGAGAAGUGCACGGUGUGAUAGGGCAGGAAGAGAAGAAAACGGAGGAGAGGAGGGGACUUUCCCAUAAGCAGGCAGAAGAAAAGGCAGCUGUGGUGUGUGAUCGACAUGGAAGCAGUGGUGUCCAAUGUGGGGUCAGCCCUAGAGGAGAGACAGAGAGAGAGACAGAAAAGUGAGAGAGUCCUGACCCUUACGAUUAACAUGGGAUCUGCCUGCAAGUGCUGUUUAGGGCCAUCGCCUCUUCCUGUACUGCUAUUUUUGAGAGUGAUGCUCCUGAGCCCCAUGACCCAGUCAAAUUUGAUGUCCCCUUGAGCCAGAUUCAGUGCUGGGAGUCCAGUGUGAUCUGCCUGGAUCUUGCUGCAUUGAGAACAGGCCAGAUCUUGACACCAAUACAGGGGGCUGGAUAUGAACAGGCAACAGCUGGGUUUCUGAGUCAGAAAGACUUGGUUAAUUGCUAAUUGCUUAGGCGAGUAAUUCAAUUUUGUUCAGUCAGAUUCCUCAGCUAUAAAAUGCAGAUGACAGUACUUAUUCCUCCAGGUUGUGGGGAAAAUGGAGAUUCUGAGCACGAUGUCCAUUUCACAGAAAGGUACCAAUUUGGUGGCUUAUUUUCCUUUCUACCUUCAGAAGUGGCUAACCCUGCCACCCAAACAGACCCUUGACUCUCAAGUGGAUGGGGUCCCAUUUGCACAGGGGGAGAGCUUACAGCCUACGUUGAGUCUAUACUUACCACUUAGUGAGCAUGGUAUCCGCUCAGGGGCCUCUGUGGGCAUCCGUCUCCUCUGCGGCAUCUUUCCUCCCCACCGCUGGGCCUGCACAUGACCCCCUCCUUGGGUUAGGCCUCUGAUCAGUGAUGACCUUGGUAUGGUGGUGAUGGUCAGU